CGAAAGCCUGACGGAGCAACGCCGCGUGAGGGAUGAAGGCCUCUGGGCUGUAAACCUCUUUUAUCAAGGAAGAAGAUCUGACGGUACUUGAUGAAUAAGCCACGGCUAAUUCCGUGCCAGCAGCCGCGGUAAGACGGAGGAUGCAAGUGUUAUCCGGAAUCACUGGGCGUAAAGCGUCUGUAGGUGGUUUAAUAAGUCAACUGUUAAAUCUUGAGGCUCAACUUCAAAAUCGCAGUCGAAACUAUUAGACUAGAGUAUAGUAGAGGUAAAGGGAAUUUCCAGUGGAGCGGUGAAAUGCGUAGAUAUUGGAAAGAACACCGAUGGCGAAAGCACUUUACUGGGCUAUUACUAACACUCAGAGACGAAAGCUAGGGUAGCA
RNAcentral lists this ribosomal RNA (379 nucleotides) under uncultured cyanobacterium. RNAcentral describes it as "bacterial SSU rRNA". It matches the Rfam family "Bacterial small subunit ribosomal RNA", at positions 376 to 770 of the family's 1533-position model. Lineage: Bacteria; Bacillati; Cyanobacteriota. The record is from RNAcentral.